This 338-nucleotide ribosomal RNA is filed under the name uncultured Pseudomonadota bacterium. RNAcentral describes it as "bacterial SSU rRNA". It matches the Rfam family "Bacterial small subunit ribosomal RNA", at positions 29 to 351 of the family's 1533-position model. Lineage: Bacteria; Pseudomonadati; Pseudomonadota. The record is from RNAcentral.
AACGAACGCUGGCGGCGUGCCUAACACAUGCAAGUCGAACGUGAUUAGAGAGCUUGCUCUUUAUGAAAGUGGCGCACGGGUGAGUAACGCGUAGAUAAUCUACCUGAUGGAUCGGGAUAACACUUCGAAAGGGGUGCUAAUACCGGAUAAGCCCACGGGGUCCUUGGACUCUGCGGGAAAAGGAGGGGCUCGCAAGACCUUCCGUCAUCAGAUGAGUCUGCGUACCAUUAGCUAGUUGGUAGGGUAAAGGCCUACCAAGGCGACGAUGGUUAGCUGGUCUGAGAGGAUGAUCAGCCACACUGGAACUGAGACACGGUCCAGACUCCUACGGGAGGCUG